AACGCGAAGAACCUUACCAGGUCUUGACAUCCUCUUGAAUACUUUAGAGAUAGAGUAGGCCUUCGGGACAAGAGAGACAGGUGGUGCAUGGUUGUCGUCAGCUCGUGUCGUGAGAUGUUGGGUUAAGUCCCGCAACGAGCGCAACCCUUGAUCUUAGUUGCCAGCAUUGAGUUGGGCACUCUAAGGUGACUGCCGGUGACAAACCGGAGGAAGGUGGGGAUGACGUCAAAUCAUCAUGCCCCUUAUGACCUGGGCUACACACGUACUACAAUGGCCGGUACAACGGGGUGCAAUGCCGCGAGGCGGAGCGAAUCCUUAAAAGCCGGUCUCAGUUCGGAUUGCAGGCUGCAACUCGCCUGCAUGAAGUCGGAAUUGCUAGUAAUCGCGGAUCAGCAUGCCGCGGUGAAUACGUUCCCGGGCCUUGUA
This 426-nucleotide ribosomal RNA is filed under the name uncultured Bacillota bacterium. RNAcentral's name for it is "bacterial SSU rRNA". It matches the Rfam family "Bacterial small subunit ribosomal RNA", at positions 958 to 1385 of the family's 1533-position model. Lineage: Bacteria; Bacillati; Bacillota. The record is from RNAcentral.